RNAcentral lists this ribosomal RNA (495 nucleotides) under uncultured bacterium. Its description in RNAcentral is "partial 16S ribosomal RNA". It matches the Rfam family "Bacterial small subunit ribosomal RNA", at positions 28 to 505 of the family's 1533-position model. The record is from RNAcentral.
GAUGAACGCUGGCGGCGUGCCUAAUACAUGCAAGUCGAGCGAACAGACGAGGAGCUUGCUCCUCUGACGUUAGCGGCGGACGGGUGAGUAACACGUGGAUAACCUACCUAUAUUACUGGGAUAACAUCGGGAAACCGGAGCUAAUACCGGAUAAUAUAUUGAACCGCAUGGUUCAAUAGUGAAAGACGGCUUUGCUGUCACUUAUAGAUGGAUCCGCGGCGCAUUAUCUAGUUGGUAAGGUAACGGCUUACCAAGGCAACGAUGCGUAGCCGAUCUGAGAGGGUGAGCGGCCACUGGAGAACUGAGACACGGUCGAGACUCCUGCGAGAGGCAGGAGUAGGAAAUCGGCCACAAGGGGCGAAAGCCAGACAGAGCAACGGCGCGUGAGAGAUGAAGGUCUUCGGAGCGAAAAACUCUGUUAGGGGGGAAAAAGAAGUGUGUAAGUAACUAGGCACGUCUUGACGGUACCUAAUCAGAGAGCCGCGGCUAACUGCG